UUUAUCGGAGAGUUUGAUCCUGGCUCAGGACGAACGCUGGCGGCGUGCCUAAUACAUGCAAGUCGAGCGGACAGAUGGGAGUUUGCUCCCUGAUGUUAGCGGCGGACGGGUGAGUAACACGUGGGUAACCUGCCUGUAAGACUGGGAUAACUCCGGGAAACCGGGGCUAAUACCGGAUGCUUGUUUGAACCGCAUGGUUCAAACAUAAA
This 209-nucleotide ribosomal RNA is filed under the name Bacillus halotolerans. RNAcentral describes it as "partial 16S ribosomal RNA". It matches the Rfam family "Bacterial small subunit ribosomal RNA", at positions 1 to 205 of the family's 1533-position model. Lineage: Bacteria; Bacillati; Bacillota; Bacilli; Caryophanales; Bacillaceae. The record is from RNAcentral.